UAACCUGCUAAAUAGCCCGUACUGCUUUGGCAGUUCGCCGGCUUCUUAGAGGGACUAUCGGCUCAAGCCGAUGGAAGUUUGAGGCAAUAACAGGUCUGUGAUGCCCUUAGAUGUCCUGGGCCGCACGCGCGUUACACUGACAGAGCCAGCGAGUAUUUCCUUGGCCGGAAGGUCCGGGUAAUCUUGUUAAACUCUGUCGUACUGGGGAUAGAGCAUUGCAAUUAUUGCUCUUCAACGAGGAAUCCCUAGUAAGCGCAAGUCAUCAGCUUGCGUUGAUUACGUCCCUGCCCUUUGUACACACCGCCCGUCGCU
RNAcentral lists this ribosomal RNA (312 nucleotides) under uncultured fungus. RNAcentral's name for it is "SSU rRNA". It matches the Rfam family "Eukaryotic small subunit ribosomal RNA", at positions 1344 to 1680 of the family's 1831-position model. The record is from RNAcentral. Lineage: Eukaryota; Fungi.